RNAcentral lists this ribosomal RNA (793 nucleotides) under uncultured archaeon. RNAcentral's name for it is "bacterial SSU rRNA". It matches the Rfam family "Archaeal small subunit ribosomal RNA", at positions 85 to 879 of the family's 1478-position model. The record is from RNAcentral.
ACGGCUCAGUAACACGUGGACAACCUACCCUUAGGUCGGGGAUAAACCCGGGAAACUGGGUAUAAUACCCGAUAGAUCUCGGCUGCUGGAAUGCAUCGAGAUCUAAAGCUCCGGCGCCUAAGGAUGGGUCUGCGGCCUAUCAGGUAGUAGUGGGUGUAGCGUACCUACUAGCCUACGACGGGUACGGGUUGUGAGAGCAAGAGCCCGGAGAUGGAUUCUGAGACACGAAUCCAGGCCCUACGGGGUGCAGCAGGCGCGAAAACUUUACAAUGCUGGAAACAGCGAUAAGGGGACCUCGAGUGCCAGGUUACAAAUCUGGCUGUCGUGAUGCCUAAAAAGCAUUGCAUAGCAAGGGCCGGGCAAGACCGGUGCCAGCCGCCGCGGUAACACCGGCGGCUCGAGUGGUAACCGUUAUUAUUGGGUCUAAAGGGUCUGUAGCCGGCCGGAUAAGUCUCUUGGGAAAUCCAGCAGCUUAACUGUUGGGCUUUCAGGAGAUACUGUCUGGCUCGAGGCCGGGAGAGGUGAGAGGUACUUCAGGGGUAGGGGUGAAAUCUUGUAAUCCUUGAAGGACCACCAGUGGCGAAGGCGUCUCACCAGAACGGACCUGACGGCAAGGGACGAAAGCUAGGGGCACGAACCGGAUUAGAUACCCGGGUAGUCCUAGCCGUAAACGAUACUCGCUAGGUGUCGGCCACGGUGCGACCGUUGUCGGUGCCGUAGGGAAGCCGUGAAGCGAGCCACCUGGGAAGUACGGCCGCAAGGCUGAAACUUAAAGGAAUUGGCGGGGGAGCAC